UGGGGAAUAUUGCACAAUGGGCGCAAGCCUGAUGCAGCAACGCCGCGUGAGGGACGACGGCCUUCGGGUUGUAAACCUCUUUUAGUAGGGAAGAAGCGAAAGUGACGGUACCUGCAGAAAAAGCACCGGCUAACUACGUGCCAGCAGCCGCGGUAAUACGUAGGGUGCGAGCGUUGUCCGGAAUUAUUGGGCGUAAAGAGCUCGUAGGCGGUCUGUCGCGUCUGCUGUGAAAACCCGAGGCUCAACCUCGGGCCUGCAGUGGGUACGGGCAGACUAGAGUGCGGUAGGGGAGAAUGGAAUUCCUGGUGUAGCGGUGGAAUGCGCAGAUAUCAGGAGGAACACCGAUGGCGAAGGCAGUUCUCUGGGCCGUAACUGACGCUGAGGAGCGAAAGCGUGGGGAGCGAACAGGAUUAGAUACCCUGGUAGUCCACGCCGUAAACGUUGGGCGCUAGAUGUGGGGACCAUUCCACGGUUUCCGUGUCGCAGCUAACGCAUUAAGCGCCCCGCCUGGGGAGUACGGCCGCAAGGCUAAAACUCAAAGGAAUUGACGGGGUCAUAGCGUUUCCU
Molecule: ribosomal RNA, 567 nt
Filed under: uncultured bacterium
Lineage: Bacteria
Description: partial 16S ribosomal RNA
Rfam family: Bacterial small subunit ribosomal RNA
Source: RNAcentral